RNAcentral lists this unclassified non-coding RNA (368 nucleotides) under soil metagenome. Its description in RNAcentral is "partial contains 5.8S ribosomal RNA, internal transcribed spacer 2, and large subunit ribosomal RNA". The stretch from base 1 to 120 matches the Rfam family "5.8S ribosomal RNA", at positions 35 to 154 of the family's 154-position model. The record is from RNAcentral.
GAUGAAGAACGCAGCGAAAUGCGAUAAGUAAUGUGAAUUGCAGAAUUCAGUGAAUCAUCGAAUCUUUGAACGCACAUUGCGCCCGGCAGUAAUCUGCCGGGCAUGCCUGUCCGAGCGUCAUUUCUGCCCUCGAGCGAGUCCAGCAUCUAGGUGCUGGGCCCGCCCGGCGUUGGGGCACUACGGGAAGCCCUGUGCUGUCCCCCGUAGGCCCCGAAAUGAAGUGGCGGUCCUGCCGCGGCGCCCCCUGCGUAGUAUAACAGCUCGCUUCGGGACCCGGUAGAGGCCUGCCGUCAAACCUUACUCUCUAAGUUUGACCUCGGAUCAGGUAGGGUUACCCGCUGAACUUAAGCAUAUCAAUAAGCGGAGGA